GCCCGGCUAGCUCAAUCGGUAGAGCGUGAGACUCUUAAUCUCAAGGUUGGGGGUUCGACCCCCCCCCCAUUGGGCU
Molecule: non-coding RNA, 76 nt
Organism: Spinellus fusiger
Lineage: Eukaryota; Fungi; Mucoromycota; Mucoromycetes; Mucorales; Phycomycetaceae
Source: the annotation of a GenBank genome assembly